Lingula anatina is the source of this 400-nucleotide long non-coding RNA. NCBI's taxonomy places the organism in Eukaryota, Metazoa, Brachiopoda, Lingulata, Lingulida, Lingulidae. The record is from RefSeq and is a predicted model, not a curated record.
AGGUCACUUUUCAGCUCUGGUUAAGACACCCUCUCCUUGUUCUCGUAUUCGUCAGGUUUCCAUGCACAAAUCCAUGAAUUCAAAUGUCAGUGAAGUAUAUCAGAGUGAUACUGGGUGGUUGUUUGCUCUCAGUUCAACACGUGACCAGUCCCGCCUCCAGGAAACAGACAGACUUGGGACCCAUAUGGUACCAACAGGUACUGGUAACACUUCACCGAAUGCUAGCGGCCGUCACCUGGCUCAGGUGGCGAGGAAGAGGUCGUCACUGCGGUUACUGUCGACGUGAUCAUGGCGGAGCGGCUGGAUUUCUACCCCUCGUAACAAAACGGGUUCAACUAGUGCUGCCACUCAAGGUUAAAGAACUUGCGUAAGAAGCAGUUUGACUUUGUGUAACUAGUAU